This 231-nucleotide ribosomal RNA is filed under the name uncultured Fusibacter sp. RNAcentral describes it as "partial 16S ribosomal RNA". It matches the Rfam family "Bacterial small subunit ribosomal RNA", at positions 1152 to 1382 of the family's 1533-position model. The record is from RNAcentral. Lineage: Bacteria; Bacillati; Bacillota; Clostridia; Eubacteriales; Fusibacteraceae.
CCGUGGACAACACGGAGGAAGGUGGGGAUGACGUCAAAUCAUCAUGCCCCUUAUGAUCUGGGCUACACACGUGCUACAAUGGCCGGUACAACGGGCAGCGAAGGAGCGAUCCGGAGCGAAUCCUAAAAAGCCGGUCCCAGUUCGGAUUGCAGGCUGAAACUCGCCCACAUGAAGUUGGAGUUGCUAGUAAUCGCGAAUCAGAAUGUCGCGGUGAAUGCGUUCCCGGGUCUU